AACGCGAAGAACCUUACCAGGCCUUGACAUCCCUUGCAAAGUCUUAGAGAUAAGAUAGAGGUUAUCAGGGUGACAGGUGGUGCAUGGUUGUCGUCAGCUCGUGUCGUGAGAUGUUGGGUUAAGUCCCGCAACGAGCGCAACCCUUGUCUUUAGUUACCACCAUUCAGUUGGGGACUCUAAAGAGACUGCCGGUGAUAAACCGGAGGAAGGUGGGGAUGACGUCAAAUCAUCAUGCCCCUUAUGGCCUGGGCUACACGCGUACUACAAUGGCGUAUACAACAAGAUGCAAGAUAGUGAUAUGGAGCUAAACUUUAAAAUACGUCUCAGUUCGGAUCGAAGUCUGCAAUUCGACUUCGUGAAGUUGGAAUCGCUAGUAAUCGCGAAUCAGCAUGUCGCGGUGAAUACGUUCUCGGGUCUUGUACACACGC
This 428-nucleotide ribosomal RNA is filed under the name uncultured Solobacterium sp. Its description in RNAcentral is "bacterial SSU rRNA". It matches the Rfam family "Bacterial small subunit ribosomal RNA", at positions 958 to 1393 of the family's 1533-position model. The record is from RNAcentral. Lineage: Bacteria; Bacillati; Bacillota; Erysipelotrichia; Erysipelotrichales; Erysipelotrichaceae.